GAACGAACGCUGGCGGCAUGCCUAACACAUGCAAGUCGAACGAGACCUUCGGGUCUAGUGGCGCACGGGUGCGUAACGCGUGGGAACCUGCCCUUAGGUUCGGAAUAACUCCCCGAAAGGGGUGCUAAUACCGGAUAAUGUCUUCGGACCGAAGAUUUAUCGCCUUUGGAUGGGCCCGCGUUGGAUUAGCUAGUUGGUAGGGUAAAAGCCUACCAAGGCGACGAUCCAUAGCUGGUCUGAGAGGAUGAUCAGCCACACUGGGACUGAGACACGGCCCAGACUCCUACGGGAGGCAGCAGUGGGGAAUAUUGGACAAUGGGCGAAAGCCUGAUCCAGCAAUGCCGCGUGAGUGAUGAAGGCCUUAGGGUUGUAAAGCUCUUUUACCCGGGAUGAUAAUGACAGUACCGGGAGAAUAAGCUCCGGCUAACUCCGUG
This 434-nucleotide ribosomal RNA is filed under the name uncultured bacterium. Its description in RNAcentral is "partial 16S ribosomal RNA". It matches the Rfam family "Bacterial small subunit ribosomal RNA", at positions 27 to 507 of the family's 1533-position model. The record is from RNAcentral.